GGCCGGGUAGCUCAGUCGGUUAGAGCGUCGUGCUGAUAACGCGAAGGUCGAGGGUCCGACCCCCUCUCUGGCCA
RNAcentral lists this transfer RNA (74 nucleotides) under Rodentolepis nana. RNAcentral's name for it is "Hymenolepis nana tRNA". It matches the Rfam family "tRNA". From Rfam's summary of the family: Transfer RNA (tRNA) molecules are approximately 80 nucleotides in length. Their secondary structure includes four short double-helical elements and three loops (D, anti-codon, and T loops). The record is from Rfam by way of RNAcentral. Lineage: Eukaryota; Metazoa; Platyhelminthes; Cestoda; Cyclophyllidea; Hymenolepididae.